Molecule: non-coding RNA, 25 nt
Filed under: Mus musculus (house mouse)
Lineage: Eukaryota; Metazoa; Chordata; Mammalia; Rodentia; Muridae
Source: RNAcentral
UAAGAAGGACACAUGCUCGACUAUG